GUUUAGGUUUGCCUUUGCGUGGCCACCGUGAUGAUGCUAAAUAUCAUCCAGAGCUGAUGAGGCUGCAGAUUCUUCCCAUAGAGAGCAAAUGGCUCUAAUUUUACGUUUUAUUGAUAAGAAUAUGGACAUAAGAGAGGAGUUCAUUGCCUUUCUUCAAUGUAAGUGGGGAUUGAGUGGAGAGAACCUUGCUAAAUUAAUUCUAGAUAAACUUAAAGACCUUGGCUUGCCAAUUGAAGACUGUCGCGGACAAGGUUAUGAUGGUGCGGGUGCUGUUGCAGGUUGUGUUAAAGGUUUGGCUGCCCAAAUUUUGAAGCUCAACUCGAAAGCAUUAUAUACCCACUGUUAUAGUCAUAGGCUUAAUUUGUCAGUUUGUGAUUCUUUGUCAGAUAUUGAGGUUAAGAAAGUACUUAACAAAAUAAAAGAUGUGACAAAUUUUA
Long non-coding RNA from Xenia sp. Carnegie-2017, 437 nucleotides. RefSeq lists it as uncharacterized. NCBI's taxonomy places the organism in Eukaryota, Metazoa, Cnidaria, Anthozoa, Malacalcyonacea, Xeniidae. The transcript is spliced from 2 exons. The record is from RefSeq and is a predicted model, not a curated record.